Carassius carassius (crucian carp) is the source of this 2538-nucleotide RNA transcript. It is a transcript of the gene named solute carrier family 25 member 23a, with no coding region annotated. The record is from RefSeq and is a predicted model, not a curated record. The transcript is spliced from 11 exons. Lineage: Eukaryota; Metazoa; Chordata; Actinopteri; Cypriniformes; Cyprinidae.
GCCAUUCAUCUGCAGAGUCAUUGGAGAAGUGGCUGCACUGUGCACGGUUUAACACGGUUUCUCUGUUGUUAACACUUCAGGACCGGGAUAUUUAGGGUCAUAUAUCAUGCUGGCAGAAGGAAGCCCCCCCCCCCCCCCCCCCCCCUGAGGGUGUAAUCUGAAGCCGCUAUUGUUGUAUCGUGGCAGCAGUAAGUCACUGCAGUCCUCGGGUUUCAGACAAGGACAGCGUGUUUUGACGCGCAAGGACAGCGUGGUGUUUUCAUCUCGACUUAAAAUGUCGCAAUGCUUGAGGAUAAGAAUAUGAAUGGCUAUCUUGGAAGUACGGGUUUCACGAUUGCGCAAGCUUCCUGGUUCGCGUGCAAAACAGCUGUUUGACGCCGUCUGCUGAGCGCGAGCUUGGACGCGACGCAAGGAGUUUGUUUCCCCACCAGCUCCUUUUUUGGACGCGUCUUCCGGCCGAUGUCUCUCCGUGGCUGACCGUGCGUGGACAGCAUCAUGUGGCGGGCGCGGUGCCAGGACAGCGGGGUCGAUCCCGAGCGCGAGCGGCUCUGGGCCGAGCUCUUCUUGCAGCUGGAUCUGAACAAGGACGGACGGAUCGAUGUGAACGAGCUGCGCGUCGGACUCUCCGCGCGGGGGAUGUCGUGGAGCUCGGUGGAGGAGCAGAUUGUACGAGCUGGAGAUGUUAAUAAAGACGGUCAGCUGGAUUUUGAAGAGUUCACCGAGUAUCUGCGUUCACAUGAGAAACGCCUCAGACUCAUGUUUCGCAGCUUGGACCGAAACAAUGAUGGUGAACUGGACGUCGGGGAGAUCCAGCAGUCGUUACACAAUCUCGGCGUGGACGUCACGCUGGAGCAGGCCGCCAAAAUCCUGCAAAGUAUGGAUAAAGACCAAUCCAUGACCAUCGACUGGUUCGAGUGGCGAGAUCACUUCCUGUUUAACCCUCUGCUCAACAUGGAGGAAAUCGCUCAGUACUGGAAACACUCAGUGAUGUUGGACAUCGGAGAGCAUCUGACGGUCCCAGACGAGUUCUCGGAGAAGGAGAAGCAGUCAGGGUUUGUGUGGCGGCAGCUGAUGGCAGGAGCCGUGGCCGGAUCUGUGUCCAGGACAGGAACCGCACCGCUCGACAGACUCAAGGUCUUUCUGCAGGUGCACGGCCAGAGCUCUGAUAAAGGGACUGUGUGGCGCGGCCUCCGUGCGAUGGUGAAGGAGGGUGGCCUCACUGCGCUGUGGAGGGGCAACGGCAUCAAUGUCCUGAAGAUCGCACCAGAGACAGCCAUCAAAUUCAUGGCCUAUGAGCAGAUUAAAUGCUUGAUGAGAGGCAGUAAAGAGGCAGGAACUCUGAAAGUUCAGGAGAGAUUCGUCGCUGGAUCACUGGCUGGAGCUACAGCUCAAACUGUCAUAUACCCAAUGGAGGUGCUGAAGACUCGUCUUACUCUUCGUAAAACAGGACAGUAUUCAAGUGUGGCGGACUGUGCUAAACAGAUCCUGCAGAAGGAGGGCGUUCUGGCCUUUUAUAAAGGAUACCUGCCCAACAUGCUGGGCAUCAUCCCGUACGCUGGCAUAGACCUCGCCGUCUACGAGACGCUGAAGAACGCCUGGCUGCAGCGGUACGCAGAGGGCUCGCCCGACCCGGGCGUCCUGGUGCUGGUGGGCUGUGGGACUGUGUCCAGCACCUGCGGACAGCUGGCGUCCUACCCGCUCGCCCUCAUCCGAACACGCAUGCAGGCGCAGGCGUCAGUGAAGGGAGCUCCUCAGUUGUCCAUGUUGGCCCUCUUCAGGAGUAUCGUGUCCCAGGACGGAGUGGUGGGUCUCUAUCGAGGCAUCGCUCCCAACUUCCUCAAGGUCAUCCCGGCGGUCAGCAUCUCAUACGUCGUCUACGAGCACAUGAGGAAAGUACUGGGAGUGGGAACCUGAGAGAGAGAGAGACAGGUCAUGUGUGUGUGUAGAAAAAAUACAAUCAAAGACUUGUUUAUUUAAGCUACAAUAUAUUAAAUCACUGGAGGGAUGUUCACCAAAAACAUUGGAUGUGAGGAAGAACGACAAACUGAAACCAAACACUGAAAUAUGCAGAAUCUAAGAGGUGCUGUUCUGAUCCAAUCCUGAAUUACUGAGGUUCAUGAUGUGCUCUUCAUGUGUGUUUGUUGGUUAACAGGGCCCUGAUAUUCAGAUAUACAGGGUACGGCCCUCUGGAUGCGGUAAAAUGAACGUAAAGAAAAGUAUCGAGGAAUGCAAGGCAGAAGUUGCCACAGCAGUUUUAAAGUGUACUGGAUAUGAUUUUAACAUUAGUUAUUUUAAGGUUAGGAAUUUAGCUAGAUACUAACGUUAUAAAGCAAACAGUAGAUGGGGGGAAUCUAAACACACUUAAUGACCUAACACUGGCAUACUAUCUUACUACAAACUCAGAAGUACUUUUACUCUCUACUUUGUACAUUCAGUGUGUAGUGUAGGCAUGUGAAUUGGGACGCAGCCUUGGAAUUCAGUUUAUAUAUCUGUUAUCCUCAAUGUAUGAGAGACUGCAGGCUAAGGUUUGGAGCAGAA